Molecule: microRNA precursor, 60 nt
Filed under: Mus musculus (house mouse)
Lineage: Eukaryota; Metazoa; Chordata; Mammalia; Rodentia; Muridae
Also listed under: 1 other name
Description: Mmu-Mir-582-v1_pre stem-loop
Source: RNAcentral
AUACAGUUGUUCAACCAGUUACUAAUCUAACUAAUUGUAACCUGUUGAACAACUGAACCC